Long non-coding RNA from Lineus longissimus, 292 nucleotides. RefSeq lists it as uncharacterized. The transcript is spliced from 3 exons. Lineage: Eukaryota; Metazoa; Nemertea; Pilidiophora; Heteronemertea; Lineidae. The record is from RefSeq and is a predicted model, not a curated record.
CACAGAUAAAGAUUCAAGCCCCAUCUCAAUUUGAGGAUGUUUAUGUCUGUCGCAAAUCCAUUCACAGCAUCAAUGUUCAGAUGAUAUGUGAUGCUGAUCGCAUUGCCACAAACCUUGUAGCCAAAUGGCCGGGAAGUGUUCACGACAGUCGAAUAUUCAAGGUGUCGUCCAUUGGCCGAGAACUUGCUAACCAAGCUCCACAUGAUGGAUUCCUUUUGGGAGACAAAGGUUAUGCACUUGAACCGUACCUGAUGACACCUUAUCGGAAUCCAACACCUGAAGAAGCCAGAUA